AUUGAACGCUGGCGGCAUGCCUUACACAUGCAAGUCGAACGGCAGCGGACCUUCGGGUGCCGGCGAGUGGCGAACGGGUGAGUAAUAUAUCGGAACGUACCUUUCAGUGGGGGAUAACGUAGCGAAAGUUACGCUAAUACCGCAUAUUCUGUGAGCAGGAAAGCAGGGGAUCGCAAGACCUUGCGCUGAUUGAGCGGCCGAUAUCAGAUUAGCUAGUUGGUGAGGUAAAGGCUCACCAAGGCGACGAUCUGUAGCGGGUCUGAGAGGAUGAUCCGCCACACUGGAACUGAGACACGGUCCAGACUCCUACGGGAGCGGCAGUGGGGAAUUUUGGACAAUGGGCGCAAGCCUGAUCCAGCCAUGCCGCGUGAGUGAAGAAGGCC
Molecule: ribosomal RNA, 383 nt
Filed under: uncultured bacterium
Lineage: Bacteria
Description: bacterial SSU rRNA
Rfam family: Bacterial small subunit ribosomal RNA
Source: RNAcentral